GGUCCUCGUGUUAUGGUUGAAGUGUGACUCUUCAGAGAAAACAGUAAUGCAUCCCUUAAGUGUUUUUAUAGUAGCACUGUGGCUUCAACUGAGGGGGGUGAGCAGCCAGCAGAAGGUGCAGCAGAACCCAGAAAUCCUCAGUGUCACAGAGGGAGCCCUGGCCUCUCUCAACUGUACUUACAGUGAUCCUAAUUAUGAUUACUUCUGGUGGUACAGACAGUAUCCUGGGAAAAGUCCUGAGUUGCUCAUGUCUAUCUUCUCCAAUGGUGAAAAGAAAGAAGGCAGAUUCACCGUUAAUCUCAAUAAAGCCAGCCUGCAUGUUUCCCUGCACAUCAGAGACUCCCAGCCCAGUGACUCAGCUGUCUACCUGUGUACAGUGAGCACACAGUGCUCCCCAGACACCUGCAGUCUAUACCCAAACCCAAUGGGCCCCAGCAAGGUCUGGACUAGUGUGCAGAAAACAGGAUGGAAAAAUUCUGAUUGUUCUCCUUGUACUUCAUACCUAGUAGGAAUUAGAGCCACAGAAGGGAGGAGUUGA
Non-coding RNA from Mesocricetus auratus (golden hamster), 538 nucleotides. NCBI's taxonomy places the organism in Eukaryota, Metazoa, Chordata, Mammalia, Rodentia, Cricetidae. The record is from the annotation of a RefSeq genome assembly.